Long non-coding RNA from Dermochelys coriacea (leatherback sea turtle), 248 nucleotides. RefSeq lists it as uncharacterized. The transcript is spliced from 3 exons. The record is from RefSeq and is a predicted model, not a curated record. NCBI's taxonomy places the organism in Eukaryota, Metazoa, Chordata, Testudines, Dermochelyidae.
GGAGUUGCUGCUGAUCCUUGUCCCAGCUUCUCCCAUGUUCUCUCUCUAUGUUUUUACCUUGAAAACUUCUGCUCAGAGCUGGGAAUGCCUGAAGGGCUUGCACGGAAUUGUUUCAUGGGAUAUACCCUUACCAACAAAACAAUGCUGUGAUCAUAUGAUGGUAGUGUACUCAUUGCUAUGGAUGGAGAAGUCUAAGGAUUGGGAGCCAAUCAGACCUAAAAAGGAAAAGAACUAAUGGAUUGCUUUAA